UCCUACGGGAGGCAGCAGUGGGGAAUAUUGCACAAUGGGGGGAACCCUGAUGCAGCGACGCCGCGUGAGCGAUGAAGUAUUUCGGUAUGUAAAGCUCUAUCAGCAGGGAAGAAAGAAAUGACGGUACCUGACUAAGAAACCCCGGCUAACUACGUGCCAGCAGCCGCGGUAAUACGUAGGGGGCAAGCGUUAUCCGGAUUUACUGGGUGUAAAGGGAGCGUAGACGGUUACGCAAGUCUGGAGUGAAAGGCGGGGGCCCAACCCCCGGACUGCUUUGGAAACUGUAUAACUGGAGUGCAGGAGAG
RNAcentral lists this ribosomal RNA (305 nucleotides) under uncultured bacterium. RNAcentral's name for it is "bacterial SSU rRNA". It matches the Rfam family "Bacterial small subunit ribosomal RNA", at positions 337 to 656 of the family's 1533-position model. The record is from RNAcentral.